UCCCUGGUGGUCCAGUGGCUAAGACUCUGCACCUCUAAUGCAGGGGGCCCGGGUUCCACCCUUGGUCAAGGAA
RNAcentral lists this transfer RNA (73 nucleotides) under Bos taurus (domestic cattle). It matches the Rfam family "tRNA". Rfam says of the family: Transfer RNA (tRNA) molecules are approximately 80 nucleotides in length. Their secondary structure includes four short double-helical elements and three loops (D, anti-codon, and T loops). Further hydrogen bonds mediate the characteristic L-shaped molecular structure. tRNAs have two regions of fundamental functional importance: the anti-codon, which is responsible for specific mRNA codon recognition, and the 3' end, to which the tRNAs corresponding amino acid is attached (by aminoacyl-tRNA synthetases). tRNAs cope with the degeneracy of the genetic code in two manners: having more than one tRNA (with a specific anti-codon) for a particular amino acid; and 'wobble' base-pairing, i.e. permitting non-standard base-pairing at the 3rd anti-codon position. RNAcentral also lists the same sequence under 2 other names. Lineage: Eukaryota; Metazoa; Chordata; Mammalia; Artiodactyla; Bovidae. The record is from Rfam by way of RNAcentral.